UACGGGGGGGGGCAAGCGUUGUUCGGAAUUACUGGGCGUAAAGGGCUCGUAGGCGGCCAACUAAGUCAUACGUGAAAUCCCUCGGCUUAACCGGGGAACUGCGUCUGAUACUGGAUGGCUUGAGAUUGGGAGAGGGAUGCGGAAUUCCAGGUGUAGCGGUGAAAUGCGUAGAUAUCUGGAGGAACACCGGUGGCGAAGGCGGCAUCCUGGACCAACACUGACGCUGAGGAGCGAAAGCCAGGGGAGCAAACAGG
Molecule: ribosomal RNA, 254 nt
Filed under: uncultured bacterium
Lineage: Bacteria
Description: partial 16S ribosomal RNA
Rfam family: Bacterial small subunit ribosomal RNA
Source: RNAcentral